RNAcentral lists this ribosomal RNA (496 nucleotides) under uncultured bacterium. RNAcentral's name for it is "partial 16S ribosomal RNA". It matches the Rfam family "Bacterial small subunit ribosomal RNA", at positions 29 to 507 of the family's 1533-position model. The record is from RNAcentral.
AUGCACGCUGGCGGCGUGCCUAAUACAUGCCAGUCGAGCGAACGGACGAGAAGCUUGCUUCUCUGAUGUUAGCGGCGGACGGGUGAGUAACACGUGGAUAACCUACCUAUAAGACUGGGAUAACUUCGGGAAACCGUAGCUAAUACCGGAUAAUAUUUUGAACCGCAUGGUUCAAAAGUGAAAGACGGUCUUGCUGUCACUUAUAGAUGGAUCCGCGCUGCAUUAGCUAGUUGGUAAGGUAACGGCUUACCAAGGCAACGAUGCAUAGCCGACCUGAGAGGGUGAUCGGCCACACUGGAACUGAGACACGGUCCAGACUCCUACGGGGGGCAGCAGUAGGGAAUCUUCCGCAAUGGGCGAAAGCCUGACGGAGCAACGCCGCGUGAGUGAUGAAGGUCUUCGGAUCGUAAAACUCUGUUAUUAGGGAAGAACAUAUGUGUAAGUAACUGUGCACAUCUUGACGGUACCUAAUCAGAAAGCCACGGCUAACUACGUG